This 406-nucleotide ribosomal RNA is filed under the name uncultured bacterium. RNAcentral's name for it is "partial 16S ribosomal RNA". It matches the Rfam family "Bacterial small subunit ribosomal RNA", at positions 30 to 526 of the family's 1533-position model. The record is from RNAcentral.
AUUGAACGCUGGCGGCAGGCCUAACACAUGCAAGUCGAACGAGUGGCGGACGGGUGAGUAAUGUCUGGGAAACUGCCCGAUGGAGGGGGAUAACUACUGGAAACGGUAGCUAAUACCGCAUACCAUCGGAUGUGCCCAGAUGGGAUUAGCUUGUAGGUGAGGUAACGGCUCACCUAGGCGACGAUCCCUAGCUGGUCUGAGAGGAUGACCAGCCAAACGGGAACUGAGACACGGUCAAGACUCUUACGGGAGGCAGAAGUGGGGAAGAUUGCACAAUUGGCGCAAGCCUGAUGCAGCCAGGCCGCGUGGAUGAAGAAUGACUUCGGGUUGUAAAGUACUUUCAGCGGGGAGGCGUUACCCGCAGAAGAUGCACCGGCUAACUCCGUGCCAGCAGCCGCGGUAAUAC